UACGGAAGGUGCAAGCGCUAAUCGGAAUUACUGGGCGUAAAGCGCACGUAGGCGGCCUUGUAAGUCGGGGGUGAAAUCCCGCAGCUCAACUGCGGAACUGCCCCCGAUACUGCUUGGCUUGAGUGCAGGAGGGGUGACCGGAACUCCAGGUGUAGCGGUGAAAUGCGUAGAUAUCUGGAGGAACACCAGAGGCGAAGGCGGGUCACUGGACUGCUACUGACGCUCAGGUGCGAAAGCUAGGGGAGCGAACAGG
This 253-nucleotide ribosomal RNA is filed under the name uncultured bacterium. Its description in RNAcentral is "partial 16S ribosomal RNA". It matches the Rfam family "Bacterial small subunit ribosomal RNA", at positions 524 to 776 of the family's 1533-position model. The record is from RNAcentral.